Molecule: ribosomal RNA, 433 nt
Filed under: uncultured bacterium
Lineage: Bacteria
Description: partial 16S ribosomal RNA
Rfam family: Bacterial small subunit ribosomal RNA
Source: RNAcentral
AACGAACGCUGGCGGCAUGCCUAACACAUGCAAGUCGAACGAGACCUUCGGGUCUAGUGGCGCACCGGUGCGUAACGCGUGGGAACCUGCCUUUAGGUUCGGAAUAACUCAGAGAAAUUUGAGCUAAUACCGGAUGAUGUCUUCGGACCAAAGAUUUAUCGCCUUUAGAUGGGCCCGCGUUGGAUUAGCUAGUUGGUGGGGUAAAGGCCUACCAAGGCGACGAUCCAUAGCUGGUCUGAGAGGAUGAUCAGCCACACUGGGACUGAGACACGGCCCAGACUCCUACGGGAGGCAGCAGUGGGGAAUAUUGGACAAUGGGCGAAAGCCUGAUCCAGCAAUGCCGCGUGAGUGAUGAAGGCCUUAGGGUUGUAAAGCUCUUUUACCCGAGAUGAUAAUGACAGUAUCGGGAGAAUAAGCUCCGGCUAACUCCGUG